This 701-nucleotide ribosomal RNA is filed under the name uncultured bacterium. RNAcentral's name for it is "bacterial SSU rRNA". It matches the Rfam family "Bacterial small subunit ribosomal RNA", at positions 83 to 769 of the family's 1533-position model. The record is from RNAcentral.
GGAGUGUAUAGAGUGGCGAACGGGUGAGUAACAGGUGGAUAAUCUGCCUUUUGGUGUGGGAUACCGGCUGGAAACGGCCGCUAAUACCGCAUGUGGUUAAGCUAUCUUAGGCUAGCUUAAAGAAAGGCGCUGCAAGGCGCCGCCAAGAGAUGAGUCCGCCUCCCAUUAGCUAGUUGGUGUGAUAAUAGCGCACCAAGGCAGUGAUGGGUAGCCGAGCUGAGAGGUUGAUCGGCCACACUGGGACUGAGACACGGCCCAGACACCUACGGGUGGCAGCAGUAGGGAAUAUUGGACAAUGGGCGCAAGCCUGAUCCAGCCAUGCCGCGUGAGUGAUGAAGGCCUUCGGGUCGUAAAGCUCUUUUCUGAGGGAAGAACUGUGGGAGAAGGAAAUGUCCCCCAUUUGACGGUACCUCAGGAAUAAGGAACGGCUAACUCCGUGCCAGCAGCCGCGGUAAUACGGAGGUUCCUAGCGUUGUUCGGAAUUACUGGGCGUAAAGGGAGCGCAGGCGGAUUGAUAAGUCUAAAGUGGAAUCCCGGGGCUCAACCUCGGACGUGCUUUGGAUACUGUCAGUCUUGAGUUCGUGAGAGGAAAGCGGAAUUCAGGGUGUAGCGGUGAAAUGCUUAGAUAUCCUGAGGAACACCAGUGGCGAAAGCGGCUUUCUGGCACGAAACUGACGCUGAGGCUCGAAAGCGUGGGUAGC